RNAcentral lists this ribosomal RNA (878 nucleotides) under uncultured bacterium. Its description in RNAcentral is "bacterial SSU rRNA". It matches the Rfam family "Bacterial small subunit ribosomal RNA", at positions 28 to 896 of the family's 1533-position model. The record is from RNAcentral.
GACGAACGCUGGCGGCGCGCUUAACACAUGCAAGUCGAACGGAGGUCCUUCGGGGCUUCAGUGGCGAACGGGUGCGUAACACGUGAGCAACCUGCCCUUGUACGGGGGAUAACCAGGGGAAACUCUGGCUAAUACCGCAUGAUAUCUUUGUUCCUUCGGGGGUGGAGAUCAAAGCUGCUUUCGGGCAGUGUGCGAGGAGGGGCUCGCGGCGUAUCAGCUAGUUGGUAGGGUAAUGGCCUACCAAGGCGAUGACGCGUAGGGGGUCUGAGAGGAUGGCCCCCCACAUUGGGACUGAGAUACGGCCCAGACUCCUACGGGAGGCAGCAGUGGGGAAUCUUGCGCAAUGGCCGAAAGGCUGACGCAGCGACGCCGCGUGCGGGAGGACGCUUUUCGGAGUGUAAACCGCUGUCGGGUGGGACGAAGGUCCUGGGGAGGUAAUGCCCUGGGGAUGACGGUACCACCAAAGGAAGCACCGGCUAACUCCGUGCCAGCAGCCGCGGUAAUACGGAGGGUGCGAGCGUUGUUCGGAAUUAUUGGGCGUAAAGGGCACGUAGGCGGCCUUGUAAGUCUCACUGUGAAAGCCCGGGGCUCAACCCCGGGAGGCCAGGGGAUACUGCGGGGCUAGAGACAAGUAGAGGUUGGUAGAAUUCCGGGUGUAGCGGUGGAAUGCGUAGAGAUCCGGAGGAAUACCAGAGGCGAAGGCGGCCAACUGGACUUGUUCUGACGCUGAGGUGCGAAAGCGUGGGGAGCGAACAGGAUUAGAUACCCUGGUAGUCCACGCCGUAAACGAUGGGCACUAGAUGCCGGAGGGAACGACCCCGUCGGUGUCGAAGCUAACGCAUUAAGUGCCCCGCCUGGGGAGUACGGCCGCAAGGCUG